Homo sapiens (human) is the source of this 993-nucleotide long non-coding RNA. RefSeq lists it as uncharacterized. The record is from RefSeq and is a predicted model, not a curated record. Lineage: Eukaryota; Metazoa; Chordata; Mammalia; Primates; Hominidae. The transcript has 3 exons.
CCUUUGCGAACUGUUGAGAAAAGCACAAGAAGGUGAGCUGAAAAAGGAAAAUAUCAGGAGAAGGAGGCCUCCAUUUAUUUUACCAAGUAGAAAAUAGGGUUUCCAAUUAUAACAACUCUUUUUGAAAUCACCCAGAAAUAACGAUCUAUAUUUAUACAUAUGGGACCAUAUCUGUGAUCCCCUUUAUCAGAUGGCGCCACUGGAAUGGAGGACCUAAAGGUCAACAACAAAAUUCCAUUACAGUCUAUUUUUAGUCAUUUGUUAACUUCUGCUUCCUAUCUUUUGACCUCUUACAGCUCCACUUAGUGCUCAUCUUCUCAGCGCUUUUGCGUUCCAUUGGAGGAGCAUAUUCACACUAAAAAAAGACCACUUUCUAGAUUGAGGACAUGCGUCACUCUAGCAUCUGAGGAUCCCACCUUCACUUUGUGAGAGCACAGUCCAGAGAGAAGCAUCCAGGCUGGGGGACAAUGCCGAGCUGGGAGAGCUGUGCUAAAGUGACGAAAGAAGAUGGACGAGAGAUACCCAAAGAAGCCUCCAGGAAAACACAUCGCUUGCUCCAGGAGUGUGUUCCCAGAGUGUCGACACAGCUCCAGCGUUUCUCACAGCCUCUGCUGCCAGGAAAGGAUAAAACACCACCCAUAUUCAGGAACAAAGACAGAGUGAACCCUCCUUCAAGUCUUAUUGCUAGAUGGCACCUGUUGCUAAAAUAGCAGCUGGUAAGCAUUUUGUUUUGUUCAAAAUAACAACAACAACAGCAACAAUAACAAAACCAAUAUAUUACAGGAAGCAACAUCACAAUGGCAAUAAGGAAUCACAAGGCUAAAUAUAUAACAGGAAGACAUACAGAAUUUUAGUAAUGAAAGACAAGGAAGAAGCUGCUAGAGCCUGGAGGAAAAAACUGAAGUGCUGAUUAGAAAUCGCUCAGCUUGCAUUAAAAAAGAGAAACAGGAGGAGAAGGGAGAGGAGGAGAAAUAGAGAGGGAGUGGGAGAGAG